RNAcentral lists this ribosomal RNA (541 nucleotides) under Achaetomium luteum. RNAcentral's name for it is "eukaryotic LSU rRNA". It matches the Rfam family "Eukaryotic large subunit ribosomal RNA", at positions 58 to 613 of the family's 3401-position model. Lineage: Eukaryota; Fungi; Ascomycota; Sordariomycetes; Sordariales; Chaetomiaceae. The record is from RNAcentral.
AAAGAAACCAGCCAGGAUUGUUUAGUAACGGCGAGUGAAGCGGCAACAGCUCAAAUUUGAAAUCUGGCUUCGGCCCGAGUUGUAAUUUGCAGAGGAAGCUUUAGGCGCGGCACCUUCUGAGUCCCCUGGAACGGGGCGCCACAGAGGGUGAGAGCCCCGUAUAGUUGGAUGCCUAGCCUGUGUAAAGCUCCUUCGACGAGUCGAGUAGUUUGGGAAUGCUGCUCAAAAUGGGAGGUAAAUUUCUUCUAAAGCUAAAUACCGGCCAGAGACCGAUAGCGCACAAGUAGAGUGAUCGAAAGAUGAAAAGCACUUUGAAAAGAGGGUUAAAUAGCACGUGAAAAUUGUUGAAAGGGAAGCGCUUGUGACCAGACUUGCGCCGGGCGGAUCAUCCGGUGUUCUCACCGGUGCACUCCGGCCGGCUCAGGCCAGCAUCGGUUCUCGCGGGGGGAUAAAGGCCCAGGGAACGUAGCUCCUACCGGGAGUGUUAGUAGCCCGUGGGUCGUAAUGCCCUUCGCGGGGACCGAGGACCGCAGCUUUUGAA